CCAGACUCCUACGGGAGGCAGCAGUGGGGAAUAUUGGGCAAUGGGCGCAAGCCUGACCCAGCAACGCCGCGUGAAGGAAGAAGGCUUUCGGGUUGUAAACUUCUUUUAAGAGGGAAGAGUAGAAGACGGUACCUCUUGAAUAAGCCACGGCUAACUACGUGCCAGCAGCCGCGGUAAUACGUAGGUGGCAAGCGUUGUCCGGAUUUACUGGGUGUGAAGGGCGUGUAGCCGGGCCGGCAAGUCAGAUGUGAAAUCCCAAGGCUCAACCUUGGAACUGCAUUUGAAACUGUUUCCCUUGAGUGUCGGAGAGGUAAUCGGAAUUCCUUGUGUAGCGGUGAAAUGCGUAGAUAUAAGGAAGAACACCAGUGGCGAAGGCGGAUUACUGGACGAUAACUGACGGUGAGGCGCGAAAGCGUGGGGAGCAAACAGGAUUAGAUACCCUAGUACC
This 448-nucleotide ribosomal RNA is filed under the name uncultured bacterium. RNAcentral's name for it is "bacterial SSU rRNA". It matches the Rfam family "Bacterial small subunit ribosomal RNA", at positions 331 to 794 of the family's 1533-position model. The record is from RNAcentral.